RNAcentral lists this ribosomal RNA (439 nucleotides) under uncultured bacterium. Its description in RNAcentral is "partial 16S ribosomal RNA". It matches the Rfam family "Bacterial small subunit ribosomal RNA", at positions 339 to 795 of the family's 1533-position model. The record is from RNAcentral.
CUACGGGGGGCAGCAGUGGGGAAUAUUGGACAAUGGGCGAAAGCCUGAUCCAGCAAUGCCGCGUGUGUGAAGAAGGCCUGCGGGUUGUAAAGCACUUUCAGUUGGGAAGAUGAUGACGUUACCAACAGAAGAAGCACCGGCUAAAUCCGUGCCAGCAGCCGCGGUAAUACGGAUGGUGCGAGCGUUAAUCGGAAUUACUGGGCGUAAAGCGCGCGUAGGCGGCUAAGUCAGUCAGAAGUGAAAGCCCCGGGCUCAACCUGGGAAUUGCUUUUGAUACUGCGUAGCUAGAGUUUGGUAGAGGAUAGUGGAAUUCCAGGGGUAGCGGUGAAAUGCGUAGAUAUCUGGGGGAACAGCAGUGGCGAAGGCGACUGUCUGGACCAAAACUGACGCUGAGGUGCGAAAGCGUGGGUAGCAAACAGGAUUAGAUACCCUCGUAGUC